AGGCAGUACAUUGCUAGCUGGCUGUUAUAAUUUCAACAGUGGCUAGUUGUGCUCCCCU
This 58-nucleotide microRNA precursor is filed under the name Pteropus alecto (black flying fox). RNAcentral's name for it is "microRNA pal-mir-449c precursor". Its record names the gene pal-mir-449c. The record is from miRBase by way of RNAcentral. Lineage: Eukaryota; Metazoa; Chordata; Mammalia; Chiroptera; Pteropodidae.